AUACGUAGGUGACAAGCGUUAUCCGGAUUUACUGGGCGUAAAGGGCGUGUAGGCGGUCUUGCAAGUCAGAAGUGAAAUUCCUGAGCUCAACUCGGGCGCUGCUUCUGAAACUGCAGGACUUGAGUGCUGGAGGGGAUAGCGGAAUUCCUAGUGGAGCGGUAAAAUGCGCAGAUAUUAGGAAGAACACCGGUGGCGAAGGCGGCUAUCUGGACAGUAACUUACGCGAAGGCGCGAAAGCGUGGGGGGCAAACAGGAUUAGAUACCCUGGUAUUCCACGCCGUAAACGAUGAAUACUAGGUGUAGGGGGUAUCGACUCCCUCUGUGCCGCAGUUAACACAAUAAGUAUUCCGCCUGGGGAGUACGGCCGCAAGGUUGAAACUCAAAGGAAUUGACGGGG
This 397-nucleotide ribosomal RNA is filed under the name uncultured bacterium. RNAcentral describes it as "partial 16S ribosomal RNA". It matches the Rfam family "Bacterial small subunit ribosomal RNA", at positions 523 to 918 of the family's 1533-position model. The record is from RNAcentral.